RNAcentral lists this ribosomal RNA (469 nucleotides) under uncultured bacterium. RNAcentral describes it as "partial 16S ribosomal RNA". It matches the Rfam family "Bacterial small subunit ribosomal RNA", at positions 28 to 507 of the family's 1533-position model. The record is from RNAcentral.
GAUGAACGCUGGCGGCGUGCCUAAUACAUGCAAGUCGAACGAGGUGCUUUUGUAGCAAUACGAGAGUAUCCUAGUGGCGAACGGGUGAGUAACGCGUUGGUGACCUACCCCAAAGUGUGGAAUAACAGUCCGAAAGGAUUGCUAAUACCGCAUGUGGUUAUCGGGUUUAGAAACUGAUAACUAAAGGAGCAAUUCGCUUUGGGAGGGACCUGCGUCCCAUCAGCUAGUUGGUGAGGUAAUGGCUCACCAAGGCUACGACGGGUAGGGGACCUGAGAGGGUGACCCCCCACAAUGGAACUGAAACACGGUCCAGACACCUACGGGUGACAGCAGUAGGGAAUAUUGCACAAUGGGCGAAAGCCUGAUGCAACAACGCCGCGUGCACGAUGAAGGCCUUCGGGUCGUAAAGUGCUUUUCUGGGAGAUGAGAAAGGACAGUAUCCCAGGAAUAAGUCUCGGCUAACUACGUG